This 323-nucleotide ribosomal RNA is filed under the name uncultured eukaryote. Its description in RNAcentral is "partial 18S ribosomal RNA". It matches the Rfam family "Eukaryotic small subunit ribosomal RNA", at positions 1470 to 1796 of the family's 1831-position model. The record is from RNAcentral.
CCCUUAGAUGUUCUGGGCUGCACGCGCGCUACACUGAUGCGCUCAACGAGUUUUAACCUUGCCUGGAAAGGUUGGGUAAUCUUUUUAAAACGCAUCGUGAUGGGGAUAGAUUAUUGCAAUUAUUAAUCUUCAACGAGGAAUUCCUAGUAAGCGCGAGUCAUCAGCUCGUGCUGAUUACGUCCCUGCCCUUUGUACACACCGCCCGUCGCUCCUACCGAUUGAAUGUUCCGGUGAGCUCUUCGGACUGCGCGGUCUGCAGUUUCUGCGUUCCGUGCGGAAAGUUGCGCAAACCUUAACAUUUAGAGGAAGGAGAAGUCGUAACA